This 741-nucleotide small RNA is filed under the name Histoplasma ohiense. RNAcentral describes it as "hypothetical lncRNA". Lineage: Eukaryota; Fungi; Ascomycota; Eurotiomycetes; Onygenales; Ajellomycetaceae. The record is from RNAcentral.
AACCUUCUUCCCUUCGAGAUAGGCAGUUCGAAAGACUGCUGUUGAAAUCCAUGUUUGCGCAAAAGGGUAGUAACUACUAGUAGUGAUCUCAACUCUACAUCCCUUAUUGCUGUUCUCCAAGAGUCUUCCUGAGUAAAUUGGAGGAUUACACGGGCUACCUCAUUCGCGUUGAACAACAACCAUAUCCAGGCUUAACAUUGCUUCCUAACUCUACCAGCCUCGCCCCAUUCAGAAAUCGCACACCAUCGAGUACUAGAUUCCGUUGGGCCAGCUAUCUGUCCUCAAACUUCAAAAUUCAGCCGGUUGAUCGUCUUUCCUUGGCUCUUGCUUGAGCCAAAGAAGCAGCCAGAAAUAGGGGAGAAAUGGACGUGAGAGGAUUGGUGGGAUCCCCUUUUGAGAUACACUUCUCGAUACAGAAUAAUAACAAUAAGAACAAAGACUUCUACCAUCACUUGUUUUCAACAGAAUUGAAAGCUACUAGCUCAUAGUGCAUCAAUUAGAAUUCCUUAAAAAUACAUUUUUUGCCUUGGGGAAAAGGUCAAGCUUGUGGAAUAUCACACUGUUUAUAAGGAUGCCGUCAAUUCUUGAACAUUUUUAUAAUAGGUCCUGGUGAAUUUUUGAUUCCUGAAAUGCUUUUUAAGCGCGAGGAAGACCACACUUUUCCUCAUAAUGUCACUACCCUUAUGACAUUUAUAGUUCUAUGACAUUUUUAGUUUUCAUAAUCCUUUUUAAGCCUGGGGG